UCGAGCGAACAGUUAAGUUGAUUUCUUCGGAUUGAUUCUUGACCGUACUGAGCGGCGGACGGGUGAGUAACGCGUGGGUGACCUGCCCCAUACCGGGGGAUAACAGCUGGAAACGGCUGCUAAUACCGCAUAAGCGCACAGAGCUGCAUGGCUCGGUGUGAAAAACUCCGGUGGUAUGGGAUGGGCCCGCGUCUGAUUAGGCAGUUGGCGGGGUAACGGCCCACCAAACCGACGAUCAGUAGCCGGCCUGAGAGGGCGACCGGCCACAUUGGGACUGAGACACGGCCCAAACUCCCACGGGAGGCAGCAGUGGGGAAUAUUGCACAAUGGGGGAAACCCCGAUGCAGCGACGCCGCGUGAGCGAAGAAGUAUUUCGGUAUGUAAAGCUCUAUCAGCAGGGAAGAUAAUGACGGUACCUGACUAAGAAGCCCCGGCUAACUACGUGCCAGCAGCCGCGGUAAUACGUAGGGGGCAAGCGUUAUCCGGAUUUACUGGGUGUAAAGGGAGCGUAGACGGCAAGGCAAGUCUGAUGUGAAAACCCAGGGCUUAACCCUGGGACUGCAUUGGAAACUGUCUGGCUCGAGUGCCGGAGAGGUAAGCGGAAUUCCUAGUGUAGCGGUGAAAUGCGUAGAUAUUAGGAAGAACACCAGUGGCGAAGGCGGCUUACUGGACGGUAACUGACGUUGAGGCUCGAAAGC
RNAcentral lists this ribosomal RNA (698 nucleotides) under uncultured bacterium. RNAcentral's name for it is "bacterial SSU rRNA". It matches the Rfam family "Bacterial small subunit ribosomal RNA", at positions 62 to 760 of the family's 1533-position model. The record is from RNAcentral.